This 301-nucleotide ribosomal RNA is filed under the name uncultured bacterium. RNAcentral's name for it is "partial 16S ribosomal RNA". It matches the Rfam family "Bacterial small subunit ribosomal RNA", at positions 509 to 809 of the family's 1533-position model. The record is from RNAcentral.
CAGUCGCCACGGUAAGAUAGAGGAUGCAAGCGUUAUCCGGAAUUAUUGGGCGUAAAGAGCUCGUAGGCGGUCUGUCGCGUCUGGUGUGAAAUCCCGAGGCUCAACCUCGGGCUUGCAUCGGGUACGGGCAGACUAGAGUGCGGUAGGGGAGACUGGAAUUCCUGGUGUAGCGGUGGAAUGCGCAGAUAUCAGGAGGAACACCGAUGGCGAAGGCAGGUCUCUGGGCCGCAACUGACGCUGAGGAGCGAAAGCAUGGGGAGCGAACAGGAUUAGAUACCCCCGUAGUCCCUGUCUCUUAUAA